RNAcentral lists this unclassified non-coding RNA (606 nucleotides) under Zea mays. RNAcentral describes it as "misc RNA Zm00001eb226130". Lineage: Eukaryota; Viridiplantae; Streptophyta; Magnoliopsida; Poales; Poaceae. The record is from RNAcentral.
UUCAUCACUGUCCUUUGACCUUCAGCUCAACCUCAAGCCAAGUUUCUUUCUUUACAUGGUGGUGAAAAGAGUACAGCGGGCGCCUACAAAAUUAGGUUAGAACCCCUCGCCUAAAUUCAAACGGUGCCACAGAAACAACAAGGUUAACCAAAGACGGCCGUUGCUGGACAUGGUAAUCUACAAGGGAGCAGUGUUUGCGGUGUAGCUUGAGGGAGAGCUGUUGAACUUGGAUGGGAAAUAAUUCCUUAAGCUAUCGACGAGCUUCCGGAUGUCAUCUACCAAGGACCAUGUCGGAGUGUUCAGGGCUCGUAUCGAGUUCAAGCACACUAGAAGGGUUCCUCCUUCGUGAAGAAGUACCUGAAAAUUGUAGCAGGUGUAGGAAUAAGGACACCAAAGAAAGGUUUAUGUAUGUGAAUCACAUGGUAACAGGACUACUGAGUAGUGAAGGUACCAAUCUGUUUUAUGCUACCAAGGCAUAUCUGUAUGAUUGCAUUUAUCCAACUCUACAAUUUACUGCUCCCUUCGGUUCACUUUAUAAAGGCAUAGUUUCACAUGCCUGGUCUCCCAAGUUACAUUUUAACCAUUUACACAUUUUAUAUUAUAUUU